CUCAUUUCAGCAGAAGAUAAACUAAAAUUGGAACAGUAAAGAGAUUAGGAUAGUCCCAACACAAGGCUGACAUGCAAACUCAUGAAGCAUUCCAUUUUAUA
Rattus norvegicus (Norway rat) is the source of this 101-nucleotide small nuclear RNA. NCBI's taxonomy places the organism in Eukaryota, Metazoa, Chordata, Mammalia, Rodentia, Muridae. The record is from Ensembl.